Paramuricea clavata is the source of this 616-nucleotide non-coding RNA. NCBI's taxonomy places the organism in Eukaryota, Metazoa, Cnidaria, Anthozoa, Malacalcyonacea, Plexauridae. The record is from the annotation of a GenBank genome assembly.
CUUUUUGUUCCCUGUUUUAGUGUUUCAGCGCGGGGCCCCAAAUUAAGAGCCCAAGGUCCCCAGAAAAAGUUAUAGGCCCCAAAAUUUAAGAAUAGAGGCCCCAAAGUGCGGGGCCCCAAAUGAUUUUUUGUUCCUUGUUUUAGCGCGUGAUCCAAACAGUGCGGGACCCUAAAGAGUCCAAAGCCCCCAAAAGCGAAACCCCAAACGAAAAAAACCACGAGGCCCCAAAGUUAAAAAGGUGACGCUCCAAAAGCGGGCCCGCAAACACAAAAUUGUUUGUUCUUUCUUUGGGCAAGGGGCUCCAAAAAGCGAUCGCGAGGCCUGCAGAAAAUCAUAGGGUUCAGAAAAUUUCAAAAUUUGCAGCAAACUGUUAAAUACUAAAAGAUCGCUGAAUUUCGUGGAAGACGGCAGAAGUUUAUAUGGACGCUAUCAUGUUUAGCUAUUUUUCCCCUGUAAAUAAUAAUAAUGUUAAUGGAAUAAACUGGGUUGAAUUUCAGUUCGAUCAAAUUAUUGAUGUAUAAUUCUUUCUUUUUUUGUAAAUACACAGGAAACUUUUCAACGCAUGAAAUACAAAAGGAUAUUUUAAAAUUUACUGAAUUCAGGGUCUAAAAUGCCG